UACGUAGGUGGCAAGCGUUGUCCGGAUUUACUGGGCGUAAAGAGCGCGCAGGCGGUCGUUCAAGUCGCGUGUGAAAGCCCCCGGCUCAACUGGGGAGGGUCACGCGAUACUGAUCGACUGGAAGGCAGGAGAGGGUAGUGGAAUUCCCGGUGUAGUGGUGAAAUGCGUAGAUAUCGGGAGGAACACCAGUGGCGAAGGCGGAGACCUGGGCCGAUACUGACGCUGAGGUGCGAAAGCGUGGGGAGCAAACAGG
This 253-nucleotide ribosomal RNA is filed under the name uncultured bacterium. RNAcentral describes it as "partial 16S ribosomal RNA". It matches the Rfam family "Bacterial small subunit ribosomal RNA", at positions 524 to 776 of the family's 1533-position model. The record is from RNAcentral.